GUCAGGAUGGCCGAGUGGUCUAAGGCGCCAGACUCAAGCUCAGCUUCCCGCUCCUGGGGCUUCUGGUCUCCGUAUGGAGGCGUGGGUUCAAAUCCCACUCCUGACA
Non-coding RNA from Pteropus alecto (black flying fox), 106 nucleotides. Lineage: Eukaryota; Metazoa; Chordata; Mammalia; Chiroptera; Pteropodidae. The record is from Rfam.